GACGAACGCUGGCGGCGUGCUUAACACAUGCAAGUCGAACGCUGAAGCCUAGCUUGCUGGGUGGAUGAGUGGCGAACGGGUGAGUAACACGUGAGUAACCUGCCCUCUUCUUUGGGAUAACGCCCGGAAACGGGUGCUAAUACUGGAUAUUCACUGAUCUUCGCAUGGGGGUUGGUGGAAAGGUUUUUUCUGGUGGGGGAUGGGCUCGCGGCCUAUCAGCUUGUUGGUGGGGUGAUGGCCUACCAAGGCUUUGACGGGUAGCCGGCCUGAGAGGGUGACCGGUCACAUUGGGACUGAGAUACGGCCCAGACUCCUACGGGAGGCAGCAGUGGGGAAUAUUGCACAAUGGGCGAAAGCCUGAUGCAGCGACGCCGCGUGAGGGAUGGAGGCCUUCGGGUUGUAAACCUCUUUCGCUCAUGGUCAAGCCGCAGCUUUGGGUUGUGGUGAGGGUAGUGGGUAAAGAAGCGCCGGCUAACUACGUGCCAGCAGCCGCGGUAAUACGUAGGGCGCGAGCGUUGUCCGGAAUUAUUGGGCGUAAAGGGCUUGUAGGCGGUUGGUCGCGUCUGCCGUGAAAUCCUCUGGCUUAACUGGGGGCGUGCGGUGGGUACGGGCUGACUUGAGUGCGGUAGGGGAGACUGGAACUCCUGGUGUAGCGGUGGAAUGCGCAGAUAUCAGGAAGAACACCGGUGGCGAAGGCGGGUCUCUGGGCCGUUACUGACGCUGAGGAGCGAAAGCGUGGGGAGCAAACAGG
RNAcentral lists this ribosomal RNA (751 nucleotides) under uncultured Actinomyces sp. Its description in RNAcentral is "bacterial SSU rRNA". It matches the Rfam family "Bacterial small subunit ribosomal RNA", at positions 28 to 776 of the family's 1533-position model. The record is from RNAcentral. Lineage: Bacteria; Bacillati; Actinomycetota; Actinomycetes; Actinomycetales; Actinomycetaceae.